This 867-nucleotide long non-coding RNA is filed under the name Citrus sinensis (sweet orange). RNAcentral describes it as "long non-coding RNA (CSIN_LNC002860)". The record is from RNAcentral. Lineage: Eukaryota; Viridiplantae; Streptophyta; Magnoliopsida; Sapindales; Rutaceae.
CUUCUUCAUUCUGGCAUAAAAUUUCCCUUUGCUCUCUAAGCUAUUCCAUCAGUAUUUUGUAAUGAAUUUCCAGCUCUUCAGCUAUAUUAUUCCUCAGUCGCUUAAUACCUGUCAUUAUGUCAAUCUUCAAUUGUGAGGUUGCUGCAGCCACCAUGUUUGAUAAGAUCUGAGUUAGUCCUCCUUGUCGUAGCACAGUGCUAUCUUCAUUCUCAUGUAAUCAAUAAAGUUUUACUUAUAAUUUCGAUCUUAUACUGCAUAUAAAAGUGGAUAUUUUUGUAACAAAUAAAACAAGUUAUGGUUGUGGUCUUGAUGAUUCAACUCAUUUCCAGUGAAGUUCGAACAACAAUUGCUAUCAUAUUCGUUUGUUGCAAUAAUAAAUUAUAGAGAUGUUAGAGCGUCUUCUUUGUGGGUACCUUAUUAACAGUCGUAUGCUUAUAUUUUUCCUUCAUAUCAACAUAUAUUACCAUGGCUGUUACAAUAUUAGCUGUUGAUAAUGAAUACUAUCAUCAAUCGGUCUUUAUGUUUGUUUGGAGCAAUGUUGCUGUUUAGUAAAAGAAGGAAGUGAAUAAUAUUAUAGACUUGUCAGUGGUUUUAUGACCCUAUGCUUUAAAACAGACUCUAUUUCCUGAUAUACAUGGUUGGUAUGAUGCAUGUCUAUAUCCUUAUGUUAUGAAGAGAGAUUGACAGAAUCACUCCAAUUUCCAUCUACCAUAUAUUCAGGCUCAAUGAAAUUUUAAACGGAAUACAUGGGAUUUGCAGUAUACUUACAACGACAGCUGAUGUUGCCUGUACCGUAUUUUGUCCUUCGCCAUGCUUGGAAUAGUUGCCAUCAACGAUCUGGACCGGUUGUGCAGCCCCAGUAAUUUC